This 478-nucleotide long non-coding RNA is filed under the name Capsicum annuum. RNAcentral describes it as "long non-coding RNA (CANN_LNC021494)". Lineage: Eukaryota; Viridiplantae; Streptophyta; Magnoliopsida; Solanales; Solanaceae. The record is from RNAcentral.
GUAAAUAUUCUGACUACCUUGGUAGCUCAAAAAGAUGAUGAGUUUGUUGCAUUAAAGGUUGCAUCAGUUAAAGAUGCAGAAGAGGCAACCAGUUCUCAUGAAAAGUUGAAAAAAAAAGUUACCCUGCAUAACAAGGUGAAGAAGUUGGAAGCUCAAUUUGAAGCCUUGACUGCAAAAAAUGCUGAUUUGACUCAACAAAUUGUCAAGGUACAUGACACAAAACAUGAAAGAAUGAAUGUACUCCUCGGGCAACUAGAUCUAGCUAUAGGAACUUCUUCCUAAAUCCUUUUUACUAUGGUCCCCACUCUUUUACCUUCCCAGCCCUAUUAUUAAGCCUCAUGAAGCUUUAUUAUCUUUUGUUCUUUUUUGUUUAUGAUGAGUAAAUAGCACAAUUGUUAUGAUAUUUUUUUAGUUAUUAUUUUUAAUGAUAUUUGGUACUGAUUGUUGGAUGAUCGAUAUGUUAAUUCCAAAAUUUUAU